UUACGGCUCAGUAACACGUAGUUAACCUACCCUGGAGGUGCAGAUAACCCCGGGAAACUGGGACUAAUCCGCAAUAGAUCAUCGUUUCUGGAAUGAACUUUGACCCAAAAGGAUAGGUAAGUAUGUUUAUCUAUUCGCUCCAGGAUGGGACUGCGGCCGAUCAGGUUGUUGGUGGGGUAUUGGCCCACCAAGCCUAUAACCGGUACGGGCUUUGAGAGAAGGAGCCCGGAGAUGGACACUGAGAAAAGGGUCCAGGUCCUACGGGGCGCAGCAGGCGCGAAACCUUCGCAAUGCGCGAAAGCGCGACGAGGUUACUCCGAGUGUUACCCGCUGAGGGUGACUUUUGCUAGGUAUAAAUAACCCAGAGAAUAAGGGGAGGGCAAGUCUGGUGUCAGCCGCCGCGGUAAUACCAGCUCCCCGAGUGGUCGGGACGUUUAUUGGGCCUAAAGCAUCCGUAGCCGGUCUUGUAGGUCUUUUGUUAAAUCCAACGGCUCAACCGUUGGGCUGCAGGAGAUACCGCAGGACUAGGAGGCGGGAGAGGUGGAUGGUACUCAAUGUGUAGGGGUAAAAUCCUUUGAUCCAUUGAAGACCACCAGUGGCGAAGGCGGUCCACCAGAACGCGCUCGACGGUGAGGGAUGAAAGCUGGGGGAGCGAACCGGAUUAGAUACCCGGGUAGUCCCAGCUGUAAACGAUGCGAGCUAGGUGAUGGGGUGGCUACGAGCCAUCCCGGUGCCCCAGGGAAGCCGUUAAGCUCGCCGCC
This 761-nucleotide ribosomal RNA is filed under the name uncultured crenarchaeote. Its description in RNAcentral is "bacterial SSU rRNA". It matches the Rfam family "Archaeal small subunit ribosomal RNA", at positions 83 to 828 of the family's 1478-position model. The record is from RNAcentral. Lineage: Archaea; Thermoproteati; Thermoproteota.